This 1913-nucleotide long non-coding RNA is filed under the name Malus domestica (apple). Its description in RNAcentral is "long non-coding RNA (MDOM_LNC017412)". The record is from RNAcentral. Lineage: Eukaryota; Viridiplantae; Streptophyta; Magnoliopsida; Rosales; Rosaceae.
UACAACUUCAUAACACAAACAUCAAGGCGUCACGAACGAUCGGCUCCUAGAACAAUUAUCAAAUCAUGUCAGAAUUCUUAUCAAUAUAACAUAUAACUUACAUAUCCUAUUCGGAAGAUCCGUACAUUGGAUUCCCGAUCCAUAAGUUUCUAAUAUCCUUAAAUAUUACGCAUUAUAUCGUUUCAAAGUUUGAUAACGAUCCAACGGUUGGAUCGUCGAUUGCUAUAAUAAUCAAGCAGCGAACCUUAAUGGAACUAGGUUCAAACGACGGAAAUUCGUCAAUCGGACCUCACAAAUGAAAUCAGGGUUUCACAAAUAAAAUCAGGGUUUUCAAAUUUAACCUAGGAAGGUCAAGGGACGUCUCGGUGCACACGCCACCCUAACUCGCCGAAAAAUUCAACUAUUUCUAAAAAUUCUCAAACUUCACAUAUAUGAAGAUCUCAGUGAGUAGUGAUAGGAGCAUAUUUAUGAGACUUAGUUAGCUUGUUUUCUUGUAUUUAUGUUGUUAGUUUCUAGUUAUUUUAGUAUUUUAAGCCAUUUUCGUGUGUUUGUAGGUUUAAAGGGCUAAAGUGGCAAGAAAGUGCAUUUUGGAGAAGUUUUGGGCUUCGAAUGGAUAACACAUGUAUGGAGCAAGGUGGAUGGAUGAAUUUGAAGAUCAAAAGAGGUUAGGAAUGUGCUGAAGAGAUAAAGGAAAUAAAUUCAACACAAGGAAGAUAAAGAAUCCAGUAAGAAAGAAAGAAUGAUUAACCAAGUUACCUUAUUUGGUCCUAACCUUUCCUAAUCCUAUACCACCUAAUUUCCAGCUGCAAGGAGGAUCUCUAAUUAUUUUAGGACACUUAAAAAAAUGAUUCUAGAAGGCCUAAUUCCAUCCCUAAAAUGAGCUGCACCUUUCCUCUUUUCCCUUUCCCCUUGCCGCAUAUCCCUUUCCCCUUUUUUUCUAGGAUCUGCCACAUAUUUCUUUCCCCUUUUCCUAAAGCAUUGCCGCACCUCACUUACCCUUUUCCUCUUGGAAUUCUGAUUUGUUGAGGAUUUGGAGUCUUAAACUCUUCCCAAAUUAAUUCCCAGUCGUGCCCUUUCCUUCCCCUAUAAAUAAAUGCCUUAGCCGUACCAUUCAACCAUCCAUUCACUACCAUUCAUACUUUCAGCCAUUCUUCCAUACAAUUCAUCACUCAAACCUGCACCCAUACCUUGUGCCACAGCAAAGAAGAAGAAUGAGGACCCUUGGACGUGCUGCCAUUCAAGCUUGGAUUGCUGGAACGUUUUUAGAUGUAAUCCAUCUUUUGUUUCCAAUGUUUAGUUUAAUUUAUCUUUGUUUUGCGAACAUGAGGAGCUAAACUCGUUUUAGCCAGGGAAAAUUCAAAGCCAUGAAUAUAUUUGCAAUAAGAAUUGAUUACUUGCAGUUGUGAUUUCAUGAAUCGUGAAUGCAAUUUACUUGACUGUUUGAUUCAGAACUUAUUCGUGUUUGUUGAUUAAGGGUGCACACUUAGUUUGCACGCAGGGAUUUGAUGCUAAAAUAUAAGGGAGUUUAACAUAAUCGUUACGAACUUAUAUUCAUCAGUAGUGAAGAUCAUUGGUCACAAUCGUGUUAAGUUAAAUUCCUGCCAAGUGUAUCAUGAUGUCAUAGUUACGAAUGCCUUGUCAAUGCUUAUGAUUUUCACAGAGCUUAAUGAUCUUUGCUUGUGUCUCUAUUAUGCAGUUCAUGUAGGGAACUUGGGAAGAAUAAUUUGGUUGCUGAUGCAUUGUCCAUCCAAUUCAAUGACUUAAGGAAAAUUUGAGGGUUAAUUAGUGAUGUCACGGUUAAUCUGGGGCGUUGAGGUUCAUGGUUUAUUGGAAAAGCAACUAGAAAUCGAUUUGUGUGCAAGUGUGUCAUGUAUCGAGAAGAACCCUUUAGCUAGCCAAUCACCCAUACUUUU